UACGUAGGGGGCAAGCGUUGUCCGGAAUCAUUGGGCGUAAAGCGCGCGUAGGCGGCCCGAUAAGUCCGCUGUGAAAGUCAAAGGCUCAACCUUUGAAUGCCGGUGGAUACUGUCGGGCUAGAGUCCGGAAGAGGCGAGUGGAACUCCUGGUGUAGCGGUGGAAUGCGCAGAUAUCAGGAAGAACACCGAUAGCGAAGGCAGCUCGCUGGGACGGUACUGACGCUGAGGCGCGAAAGCGUGGGGAGCGAACAGG
Molecule: ribosomal RNA, 253 nt
Filed under: uncultured bacterium
Lineage: Bacteria
Description: partial 16S ribosomal RNA
Rfam family: Bacterial small subunit ribosomal RNA
Source: RNAcentral